AACCUGCCCUCUUCAGGGGGACAACCUUCCGAAAGGGAGGCUAAUCCCGCGUAUAUCGGUUUCGGGCAUCCGAGAUCGAGGAAAGAUUCAUCGGAAGAGGAUGGGCAUGCGGCGCAUUAGCUAGACGGCGGGGUAACGGCCCACCGUGGCGACGAUGCGUAGGGGUUCUGAGAGGAAGGUCCCCCACACUGGUACUGAGACACGGACCAGACUCCUACGGGAGGCAGCAG
Molecule: ribosomal RNA, 230 nt
Filed under: uncultured bacterium
Lineage: Bacteria
Description: partial 16S ribosomal RNA
Rfam family: Bacterial small subunit ribosomal RNA
Source: RNAcentral